AGUGAACGCUGGCGGCGGGCCUAACACAUGCAAGUCGAACGGCAGCACAGUAAGAGCUUGCUCUUACGGGUGGCGAGUGGCGGACGGGUGAGGAAUACAUCGGAAUCUACUUUUUCGUGGGGGAUAACGUAGGGAAACUUACGCUAAUACCGCAUACGACCUACGGGUGAAAGCAGGGGAUCUUCGGACCUUGCGCGAUUGAAUGAGCCGAUGUCGGAUUAGCUAGUUGGCGGGGUAAAGGCCCACCAAGGCGACGAUCCGUAGCUGGUCUGAGAGGAUGAUCGGCCACACUGGAACUGAGACACGGUCCAGACUCCUACGGGAGGCAGCAGUGGGGAAUAUUGGGCAAUGGGCGCAAGCCUGAUCCAGCCAUACCGCGUGGGUGAAGAAGGCCUUCGGGUUGUAAAGCCCUUUUGUUGGGAAAGAAAAGCAGCAGGUUAAUACCCCGCUGUUCUGACGGUACCCAAAGAAUAAGCACCGGCUAACUUCGUG
This 492-nucleotide ribosomal RNA is filed under the name uncultured bacterium. RNAcentral describes it as "partial 16S ribosomal RNA". It matches the Rfam family "Bacterial small subunit ribosomal RNA", at positions 29 to 507 of the family's 1533-position model. The record is from RNAcentral.